This 1064-nucleotide ribosomal RNA is filed under the name uncultured bacterium. RNAcentral describes it as "bacterial SSU rRNA". It matches the Rfam family "Bacterial small subunit ribosomal RNA", at positions 338 to 1397 of the family's 1533-position model. The record is from RNAcentral.
CCUACGGGAGGCAGCAGUGGGGAAUUUUGGACAAUGGGCGCAAGCCUGAUCCAGCAAUGCCGCGUGCAGGAUGAAGGCCUUCGGGUUGUAAACUGCUUUUGUACGGAACGAAACGGUCUACCCUAAUACGGUGGGCUAAUGACGGUACCGUAAGAAGAAGCACCGGCUAACUACGUGCCAGCAGCCGCGGUAAUACGUAGGGUGCGAGCGUUAAUCGGAAUUACUGGGCGUAAAGCGUGCGCAGGCGGUUCUAUAAGACAGAUGUGAAAUCCCCGGGCUUAACCUGGGAACUGCGUUUGUGACUGUAGGACUGGAGUGUGGCAGAGGGGGGUGGAAUUCCACGUGUAGCAGUGAAAUGCGUAGAGAUGUGGAGGAAUACCGAUGGCGAAAGGCAGCCCCCUGGGUCAACACUGACGCUCAUGCACGAAAGCGUGGGGAGCAAACAGGAUUAGAUACCCUGGUAGUCCACGCCCUAAACGAUGCGAACUAGGUGUUGGGGAAGGAGACUUUCUUAGUACCGCAGCUAACGCGUGAAGUUCGCCGCCUGGGGAGUACGGUCGCAAGAUUAAAACUCAAAGGAAUUGACGGGGACCCGCACAAGCGGUGGAUGAUGUGGUUUAAUUCGAUGCAACGCGAAAAACCUUACCUACCCUUGACAUGUCUGAAAUCCUGUAGAGAUAUGGGAGUGCUCGAAAGAGAAUCAGAACACAGGUGCUGCAUGGCCGUCGUCAGCUCGUGUCGUGAGAUGUUGGGUUAAGUCCCGCAACGAGCGCAACCCUUGUCAUUAGUUGCUACGAAAGGGCACUCUAAUGAGACUGCCGGUGACAAACCGGAGGAAGGUGGGGAUGACGUCAGGUCCUCAUGGCCCUUAUGGGUAGGGCUACACACGUCAUACAAUGGCCGGUACAGAGGGCUGCCAACCCGCGAGGGGGAGCCAAUCCCAGAAAACCGGUCGUAGUCCGGAUCGCAGUCUGCAACUCGACUGCGUGAAGUCGGAAUCGCUAGUAAUCGCGGAUCAGCUUGCCGCGGUGAAUACGUUCCCGGGUCUUGUACACACCGCCCGU